AUGAUAAAGGGGGUGAUGUCCGUGAUCGUGUCGCUGAAGUUGAGAGAAGGCGGCUGGGAGGUGAGGGCAGACCGAGUCCACACUCUAACAGAUUCUGCAGACGUGCUCGCCCCGGUAGGCAUCCCGGGAUGCGUGGACCGUCUGUACGCUCUGAUGGAGGACGGUGCCGCCCCGCCCGGCCUCUCCUCCGCGGCAGGGGCGCCGCGGCGCGGGUGGUGGGUGGACAAGGACGACGAAGACGCGGUGUACCUGACGGUGCUGAUGCUGGGGCUCGGGAAGGAGCGCGUGAAGGUGUGGGCGGAGCGGAACAUCCUAGUGAUCAAGGGCGGGGGCGAGAAGGCGCACCGGAAAGGCGACAGCAACCCCGCGUGUCAAGGUACAGUCACCGCAUCGAGAUGCCCGCUGGCGAGUACAAGAUGGACAAGAUCAAGGCCGAGAUGA
Molecule: ribosomal RNA, 441 nt
Filed under: Triticum aestivum (bread wheat)
Lineage: Eukaryota; Viridiplantae; Streptophyta; Magnoliopsida; Poales; Poaceae
Description: partial small subunit ribosomal RNA
Source: RNAcentral